UAACUUUUAAUAAUAAAUCUCUUAGUUCUAGUAUUAAUAAAGAACGUAGCGAAAUGCGAUAAGUAGUGUAAAUUAUAGAAUUUAGUAAAUUAUUAAAUCUUUAAACGUAUAUUACGCCCCUUAGUAUUUUAUAGAGCAUACCUAUUUAAGCGUUAUUA
RNAcentral lists this ribosomal RNA (158 nucleotides) under Halobyssothecium obiones. Its description in RNAcentral is "5.8S ribosomal RNA". It matches the Rfam family "5.8S ribosomal RNA". From Rfam's summary of the family: 5.8S ribosomal RNA (5.8S rRNA) is a component of the large subunit of the eukaryotic ribosome. It is transcribed by RNA polymerase I as part of the 45S precursor that also contains 18S and 28S rRNA. Lineage: Eukaryota; Fungi; Ascomycota; Dothideomycetes; Pleosporales; Lentitheciaceae. The record is from RNAcentral.